ACCGGGACUCGGGAGGCAGAAGCAAGGCACGGGUCCCCUUUCUCCUCUCCUCCACCAAACCACCGCAGCCCAGCGCGUGAAGCUUCCCUUUGUUCAUCCGAGGCUCGCUUUCCUCCCCGGCAGAUCCACCUGGAUGCUCUCCCUCGAGCAGCGCGGGGAGCCCGGGGAGAUGCAGGACCACCCACUGGCGGGGAAGCAGCUAGCAGCCCUCCCGCGCCCCCGCGCUGCCGAGCGCCUUCUGCCUCCGCGCUCGGACCAGAGCCCGUGCCGGCCCCGGCCCCGGCCCCGCCGCGCCGCCGCCGCCCUCCCGGCCGCCCCGCAGCCCCGCCGCCCCGCCGCCCCGCACCGCGCUGGCCAGGUCCCCGCGACAGUGGCCCCGCAGUAAGUUGGCAGGAGCGAGUCCCCUCCGUUCUCGCCUCCCCCGCACCUUUUGAACUUGUUGCUGCUGCUCUGCUCGCCUGCGCCUGGCUUUUGGAAGGUGAAAAGGAGGAGGGAGGAACGGAGGGAUGGGGGAAGGGGGAGAAGAGCUCGCUUGAGCUUUAUUUAUGCUCCCUCGGCGCAUCGGAUUCGGCUGCUCGCGAGCUGCUUUCUCUCCUCUUCCCUUUCCGGGUGCACGGCGAGGAGAAAGUCUCUAUGCAACUCAGCCCCGGCGCGCGCUUGGCCAGGUAUGUACUGCGGGCGCGGCGCGUUCUGCGCGGAAGCAGAUGCUGCUGCCGCCACGGCGGCGGCGGCUGCCAGCUCCUGGGCUCUGUAACUGUCACACUGCACCUGAGCUGAACUUGAAAAGAGAGUGAAGGGGCGACUGGGCGAACGCUUUUGGCAGACACAGAGGGUGUUUGUAGACGUGGGGGAGGAGGAUCUGUAUUAACGCCCCCCACCGUACCCACUGCACAUCACCUCCAUCUCUGCAAAUACAGCCCGAGGAGUAGAGGCAGCAGCAGCUGGACCCCCAAAGAGAGACGUGGGGCAGCGGCUGUGACCGUAUCUCCUGAGCUACAACAACAGGUCGCCUUGUUGAGACUCCUUUGGCGGGAAGGGCUACUUGAAAAGGAAGGUUUGAAAGAGUGAGAAGGGUAGGUGGAAGGAUUCCCUAAUUCGUCGAAAUAAUUCUAUUGGGUGACUCUCGUUCGUCUUCUCUAUCCUACACUCCACAUACUGACCCCAUAUUAUCCAGACUGUGCCAGGGGAGAAAUCAAAGACACCUGUUUGAAGAAACGACUGCACCUGUGUGCUUAUUUGUGCCAGAGGGUGGCCUGGCCCACCUGCUGGAAGCGGUUUGGCUAGGUUCUGUUGGGGGCGAUUGUUAAGACGUUGUAUUUUGUUGUCAUUACUCCAAACACCUGUCUUGGAGGGAAACUUGCCCUUCUGAGAACUGUGACUUUACCAGAAGCCCUAUCUCGGAAUAAGAGUGACACCUCUGGACCACGUUUCUCUCUAGUACUUUGCUUGACUGGAGGAAGUGGGUGAGUUGUGGCUGCUUCGGUUGACCCAUUGUAGACGCCUCGUCACCCUUCU
This 1515-nucleotide long non-coding RNA is filed under the name Macaca mulatta (Rhesus monkey). Its description in RNAcentral is "lncRNA (ENSMMUG00000059219.1)". Lineage: Eukaryota; Metazoa; Chordata; Mammalia; Primates; Cercopithecidae. The record is from RNAcentral.